This 253-nucleotide unclassified non-coding RNA is filed under the name Rosa sempervirens. The record is from RNAcentral. Lineage: Eukaryota; Viridiplantae; Streptophyta; Magnoliopsida; Rosales; Rosaceae.
UCGAAACCUGCCUAGCAGAACGACCCGAGAACAUGUUUCAACGCUGGGGGGCGGAGGGUCUUGCGGCUCUGCGCCCCCUUAUCCUAGGAGGCAAGUGUCUUGCGUGUUGCAUUUCGGUGCUUGCGCUUGAUCGACCCUCCCAGGCGUACCGAACACCGGCGUGAAUUGCGCCAAGGAACUUGAAUGAAAGAGCGUUCCCCCGCCGUCCCGGAGACGGUGCUCGUGCGGGUGGUUUCGUCAUCUUCAAUAUGUC